RNAcentral lists this ribosomal RNA (407 nucleotides) under uncultured Nocardioides sp. RNAcentral describes it as "bacterial SSU rRNA". It matches the Rfam family "Bacterial small subunit ribosomal RNA", at positions 355 to 774 of the family's 1533-position model. Lineage: Bacteria; Bacillati; Actinomycetota; Actinomycetes; Propionibacteriales; Nocardioidaceae. The record is from RNAcentral.
UGGGGAAUAUUGGACAAUGGGCGGAAGCCUGAUCCAGCAACGCCGCGUGAGGGAUGACGGCCUUCGGGUUGUAAACCUCUUUCAGCACAGACGAAGCGCAAGUGACGGUAUGUGCAGAAGAAGGACCGGCCAACUACGUGCCAGCAGCCGCGGUAAUACGUAGGGUCCGAGCGUUGUCCGGAAUUAUUGGGCGUAAAGGGCUCGUAGGCGGUCUGUUGCGUCGGGAGUGAAAUCCCUGGGCUUAACCCAGGGCCUGCUUCCGAUACGGGCAGACUAGAGGCAUUCAGGGGAGAACGGAAUUCCUGGUGUAGCGGUGAAAUGCGCAGAUAUCAGGAGGAACACCGGUGGCGAAGGCGGUUCUCUGGGAAUGUUCUGACGCUGAGGAGCGAAAGUGUGGGGAGCGAACA